AAAACAGUCCACUUUGUGGCCUGUUAUCGGAAUGGGUACAAUUUAAAUCUUUUAACGAGGAUCUAUUAGAGGGCAAGUCUGGUGCCAGCAGCCGCGGUAAUUCCAGCUCUAAUAGCGUAUAUUAAAGUUGUUGUGGUUAAAACGCCCGUAGUUGGUUUUUCGGUCUCGAAGCUCGGUAGCUCGUAUGGGCUUAACUGAGUCUUCCGGCCUAAAUUUCUUGUACUCUCCCGAUGCUCUUUAUUGAGUGUCUCGAGAUGCUAGAACGUUUACUUUGAAAAAAUUAGAGUGCUAAAAGCAGGCUAUACGCUUGAAUAAAGUGCAUGGAAUAAUGGAAUAGGACUUUAGUUUUAUUUUGUUGGUUUUCGAAAUUAAAGUAAUGAUUAAGAGGAACAGACGGGGGCAUUCGUAUUGUUGCGUUAGAGGCGAAAUUCUUGGAUCGCAGCAAGACGAACAACUGCGAAAGCAUUUGCCAAGAAUGUUUUCAUUAAUCAAGGACGAUAGUUAGAGGUUCGAAGGCGAUCAGAUACCGCCCUAGUUCUAACCGUAAACUAUGCCAACUAGCGAUCCGUCGGUGUUAAAUAUUGACUCGACGGGCAGCUUCCGGGAAACCAAAGUUUAUAGGUUCCGGGGGAAGUAUGGUUGCAAAGCUUAAACUUAAAGGAAUUGACGGAAGGGCACCACCAGGAGUGGAGCCUGCGGCUUAAUUUGACCCAACACGGGGAAAACUCACCCGGCCAGGACACAAUAAGGAUUGACAGAUUGAUAGCUCUUUCUUGAUUUUGUGGGUGGUGGUGCAUGGCCGUUCUUAGUUGGUGGAGCGAUUUGUCUGGUUAAUUCCGAUAACGAACGAGACUCUAGCCUAUUAAAUAGACGAUAUAUCUUAUUAGUAUAUCGAGCUUCUUAGAGGGACGAGCAGCUUCUAGCUGCACGAGAUUGAGCAAUAACAGGUCUGUGAUGCCCUUAGAUGUCCGGGGCUGCACGCGCGCUACAAUGAAAAUAGCAGCGCGUUUCGAAAACCUUUUCUGGAAAGUAUUGGUAAACGCGAAAUAUUUUCGUGAUUGGGAUAGGGGAUUGCAAUUAUUGCCCUUGAACGAGGAAUUCCCAGUAAAUUCGAGUCAUCAGCUCGAGUUGAUUACGUCCCUGCCCUUUGUACACACCGCCCGUCGCUACUACCGAUUGGAACAUUGCGUGAGAUCUUCGGACUGACGUCGAAACGAACGUAAAAAUUCGAUUCGCGCGUUGGAAAGAUGCUCGAAUGCAACGUUCUAGAGGAAGUAAAAGU
RNAcentral lists this ribosomal RNA (1282 nucleotides) under metagenome. Its description in RNAcentral is "SSU rRNA". It matches the Rfam family "Eukaryotic small subunit ribosomal RNA", at positions 482 to 1789 of the family's 1831-position model. The record is from RNAcentral.